GCCUUCGUGGUGUAGUGAUCAACACGCUCGACGCGUAUUCGAGAGGUCCAUGGUUCGAGCCCCGGCGAGGGCA
Molecule: transfer RNA, 73 nt
Filed under: Stegodyphus mimosarum
Lineage: Eukaryota; Metazoa; Arthropoda; Arachnida; Araneae; Eresidae
Rfam family: tRNA
About the family: Transfer RNA (tRNA) molecules are approximately 80 nucleotides in length.
Source: Rfam by way of RNAcentral